This 72-nucleotide transfer RNA is filed under the name Sphaerodactylus townsendi. RNAcentral describes it as "tRNA-Val". It matches the Rfam family "tRNA". From Rfam's summary of the family: Transfer RNA (tRNA) molecules are approximately 80 nucleotides in length. Lineage: Eukaryota; Metazoa; Chordata; Lepidosauria; Squamata; Sphaerodactylidae. The record is from RNAcentral.
GGGGCUGUAGCUCAUAAGCAGAGGAUCUGUUUGACACGCAGAAGGUCCUAGGUUCGAUCCCCGGCAUCUCCA